This 1589-nucleotide long non-coding RNA is filed under the name Heterocephalus glaber (naked mole-rat). RNAcentral describes it as "lncRNA (ENSHGLG00100039178.1)". Lineage: Eukaryota; Metazoa; Chordata; Mammalia; Rodentia; Bathyergidae. The record is from RNAcentral.
AAGCAUUUGGGAGAAAAUGAAUAGGUUCCGGGGGAAAUGACCAAAAAGAUUACUCAAAUAAGGGAAAAGAUGGCAACUAUGCCGCCCUCCUAGAGCGGAAGUACUUAUGACUACGAAGAGUUCUCCGAACUACAUUUCCCAGAGUGCAUAUGCACAGUUUUUCUGGAGCGUGGAGUGUCUCGGACGCCAGGCGGUCCUGGGCUACAUUGUCCCAGAAUGCAAUAGAGAUGUCUAUUUAGGACAAAAUAUUUGAAAUUAGAUCUCCAAAAUGAAAGGGUCGCCGAAGAAGCGGGGACACACGGACGUUCAAACAAGCUUUAUUGGGGCGGCAGUCUGCAGCCUGCCGGGCUGACUCACAGAAUGGAGACCAGCAACUGCAUGGGCUGAGCUGGAAGCUUAUAUAGGGAUCUUGCAGGUGGGAGAGCAUUAGUCCAUUGGUGGGGGUGGGUGAUUGGGCUGGGGUAUGUAGCAACAGGUUUCGGUCAAGGGGGAUGGAGUCACCGCUUUCAGGAAGCCCCUAUCUUACUGGAACAUCUGACCACGAAACCGAAACCGGUGGGGCAGAAAGACCUUAACUAGGCAGAGAGUCACUAACAAAGGGAGCUCUUGCCUUAGUUAUGCGGAAGUUCCCUGUUCCCUGUGGCCCGAGUGGGUCAAGGGGAAAGAAGAGGAGGGGGCUUGCUCUGUGGGGGCUCUGAAAUACCUAACACAAAAUAACCAAAUAUUUACUGGCUAUGAUUAUUAAAUAUUGUUCUAUACUAGUGCUCUAUUCGUUUAUAUUGUAUGUUACUGAACUCAUGGAAAAUCAUAUCAUUUCCCCUACACAUCAUAAUUCUUUUUUUUUUUUUUUUUUUUUUGGUACCCGGGAUCGAACUUGGGACGUUGGCGCUUGUGAGGCAGGCAGCGGCACCACUGAGCUAAACCACCGGCCCAAAGGAUGCAGCAACAAGGCACCAUCACAGAAGCAGAAAGCAGCCCUUACCAGACACACAACCAGCCAGAGCCUUCAUUUUGAACUCCCCCACCUCCAGUACAGCGAUAAAUAAAUUUCUAUUGUUUAUAAAUUACCCAGUCUGCGAUAUUCUGGUAUAGCAACACAAAUGGCCUAAGAAAUAAGGGAUCAAACUCGGGACCUUGCGCUUGCGAGGCAGGCUGCGGAACCACUGAGCUAAGUCCCCGGCCCAGAUUUUUACAAUCUAAUGCUGAACUAACUUAGUAAAUCAUGUGUAACAGGCAUAGGACUCUUGCAACCUUGCACCUGAUUUUCCCCAGACUACAUCCAAUGAGCAUUUUCCCUUUGCUAGUUUACUUUGUAUCCUUUCACUCUAAUAUCAUUAUAGUGAGAUAUCAGUCAUGAGUAUGAAAAAAUAGGGUGUCUUGAGUCCUCUUUGUGAAUGACAGAAUGUAGAGGUGGUCUUGGGAACAACUCAUGCACCAUGCAAAUUGAGACAGCAUGAACCUUAAUAGGUACUGAGCAUUAUGCAAAGAGAUGCUCCCGAAAAUCAAGUGGGGGAACUGGUCUCCCGACUAGAUGUAACUGAUCGAGUAAAGCUCUUUAUUCAACUACACUGAAAAUAUCACAAUCAUGU